AACAGAAGUAGGUAGCUUAACCUUCGGGAGGGCGCUUACCACUUUGUGAUUCAUGACUGGGGUGAAGUCGUAACAAGGUAACCGUAGGGGAACCUGCGGUUGGAUCACCUCCUUACCUUAAAGAA
RNAcentral lists this ribosomal RNA (125 nucleotides) under Salmonella enterica subsp. enterica serovar Typhimurium. RNAcentral describes it as "partial 16S ribosomal RNA". It matches the Rfam family "Bacterial small subunit ribosomal RNA", at positions 1419 to 1533 of the family's 1533-position model. The record is from RNAcentral. Lineage: Bacteria; Pseudomonadati; Pseudomonadota; Gammaproteobacteria; Enterobacterales; Enterobacteriaceae.